AAAAUAGUAUAUUGAAACAUAGGAUACCCUUAGUAGUUAAGCUUAGACAAGCGUGGAUUAUCUUUUAACAAAAUUAUUAAUCGAAUAUUAGUUAUGGAAACCAGAUAAUCCACGUACGUACGUAGUUUUGUAUUGUAUUAUCAAAUAUCGUCGUGUAAGAGAUACAAAUAGAUAACAAGAAUAUACCAUGAAACAUCAAUGCAUGUGUUAGGCAAUAAUCCCAACAAAAAUGUACUCC
RNAcentral lists this long non-coding RNA (238 nucleotides) under Brassica rapa (field mustard). RNAcentral's name for it is "long non-coding RNA (BRAP_LNC003217)". The record is from RNAcentral. Lineage: Eukaryota; Viridiplantae; Streptophyta; Magnoliopsida; Brassicales; Brassicaceae.